RNAcentral lists this ribosomal RNA (311 nucleotides) under uncultured bacterium. RNAcentral's name for it is "bacterial SSU rRNA". It matches the Rfam family "Bacterial small subunit ribosomal RNA", at positions 28 to 334 of the family's 1533-position model. The record is from RNAcentral.
GAUGAACGCUAGCGGCAGGCUUAACACAUGCAAGUCGAGGGGUAACAGGAAAAGCUUGCUUUUCGCUGACGACCGGCGCACGGGUGCGUAACGCGUAUGCAACCUACCUCUUACAGGGGGAUAGCCCGAAGAAAUUCGGAUUAAUACCCCAUAGUAUUCUUAAAUCGCAUGGUUUGAGAAUUAAAACUCCGGUGGUAAGAGAUGGGCAUGCGUCCUAUUAGUUUGUUGGUGAGGUAACGGCUCACCAAGACUGCGAUAGGUAGGGGGCCUGAGAGGGUGACCCCCCACACUGGUACUGAGACACGGACCAG